This 217-nucleotide ribosomal RNA is filed under the name uncultured bacterium. RNAcentral describes it as "partial 16S ribosomal RNA". It matches the Rfam family "Bacterial small subunit ribosomal RNA", at positions 524 to 740 of the family's 1533-position model. The record is from RNAcentral.
UACGGAGGGUGCGAGCGUUGUCCGGAAUCACUGGGCGUAAAGGGCGCGUAGGCGGCUCGUGAAGUCAGUGGUGAAAGCCCAGGGCUCAACUCUGGGUCGGCCACUGAUACUCGCGAGCUCGAGUUUGGUAGAGGCAGAUGGAAUUCCGGGUGUAGCGGUGGAAUGCGUAGAGAUCCGGAAGAACACCGGUGGCGAAGGCGGUCUGCUGGGCCAAGAC